Molecule: ribosomal RNA, 1447 nt
Filed under: uncultured bacterium
Lineage: Bacteria
Description: bacterial SSU rRNA
Rfam family: Bacterial small subunit ribosomal RNA
Source: RNAcentral
AGAGUUUGAUCCUGGCUCAGAACGUACGCUGGCGGCACGCCUAACACAUGCAAGUCGAACGCAGUAGCAAUACUGAGUGGCGAACGGGUGAGUAUAAUGUAGGUAUCUGCCUUUUGGUUUGGAAUAACACGAGGAAACUUGUGCUAAUACCGGAUAAGCCUUCACAGGGAAAGUUUUAUACGCCAAAAGAUGAGCCUGCACUUGAUUAGCUAGUUGGUAAGGUAAUAGCUUACCAAGGCUACGAUCAAUAGCUGAUCUGAGAGGAUGAUCAGCCACAUUGGGACUGAGACACGGCCCAAACUCCUACGGGAGGCAGCAGUGGGGAAUCUUGCACAAUGGGGGAAACCCUGAUGCAGCGAUGCCGCGUGAGUGAAGAAGGCCCUUGGGUUGUAAAGCUCUUUCGUCGGGGAAGAAAAUGACUGUACCCGAAUAAGAAGGUCCGGCUAACUUCGUGCCAGCAGCCGCGGUAAUACGAAGGGACCUAGCGUAGUUCGGAAUUACUGGGCUUAAAGAGUACGUAGGUGGUUAAAAAAGUUGGUGGUGAAAUCCCAGAGCUCAACUCUGGAACUGCCAUCAAAACUUUUUAACUAGAGUAUGAUAGAGGUAAGCGGAAUUUCUAGUGUAGAGGUGAAAUUCGUAGAUAUUAGAAAGAACACCGAAUGCGAAGGCAGCUUUCUGGAUCAUUACUGACACUGAGGUACGAAAGCAUGGGUAGCGAAGAGGAUUAGAUACCCUCGUAGUCCAUGCCGUAAACGAUGUGUGCUAGACGUUGGGAAUUUAUUUUUCAGUGUCGCAGCAAAAGCGUUAAGCACACCGCCUGGGGAGUACGACCGCAAGGUUAAAACUCAAAUGAAUUGACGGGGACCCGCACAAGUAGUGGAGCAUGUGGUUUAAUUCGAAGAUACGCGCAGAACCUUACCAACACUUGACAUGUUCGUCGCGACUCUAAGAGAUUAGAGUUUUCGGUUCGGCCGGACGAAACACAGGUGCUGCAUGGCUGUCGUCAGCUCGUGUCGUGAGAUGUUGGGUUAAGUCCCGCAACGAGCGCAACCCUCAUUUUUAGUUGCCAUCAUUAAGUUGGGCACUCUAAAAAAACUGCCAGUGAUAAGCUGGAGGAAGGUGGGGAUGACGUCAAGUCCUCAUGGCCCUUACGUGUUGGGCUACACACGUGCUACAAUGGUACUUACAGCGUGAUGCUAAGACGCGAGUCCAAGCAAAACACAAAAAGGUACCUCAGUUCGGAUUGCACUCUGCAACUCGAGUGCAUGAAGCUGGAAUUACUAGUAAUCGCGGAUCAGCGCGCCGCGGUGAAUACGUUCCCGGGUCUUGUACACACCGCCCGUCACACCAUGGAAGUUGGUUUCACCUUAAGGCAAAAUGUUAACCCUCGGGAAACAUUUGACUACGGUACGAUCAGCGACUGGGGUGAAGUCGUAACAAGGUAACC